RNAcentral lists this ribosomal RNA (468 nucleotides) under uncultured bacterium. RNAcentral describes it as "partial 16S ribosomal RNA". It matches the Rfam family "Bacterial small subunit ribosomal RNA", at positions 28 to 507 of the family's 1533-position model. The record is from RNAcentral.
GACGAACGCUGGCGGCGUGCUUAACACAUGCAAGUCGAACGGACAGGCCCUGCUCUUGUGGGGUGCUCGAGUGGCGAACGGGUGAGUAAAACGUGAGUAACCUGCACUUGAAUUUGGGAUAACUUCAGGAAAAUGGGGAUAAUACCGGAUAGGAGCUAUUGCAGCAUGGUGGGGGUUGGAAAGUUUCGGCGGUUGGGGAUGGACUCGCGGCUUAUCAGCUUCUUGGUGGGGUAGUGGCUUACCAAGGUUUUGACGGGUAGCCGGCCUGGGAGGGUGGCCGGCCACAUGGCUCCUGCGGUACGGCGCAGACUCCUACCUGCGGCAGCAGGGGGGAGUAUUGCACAGUGGGCGGGAGCCUGAUACGGCAGCCCCGCGUUCGGAAUGACGUGCUUCGGGUUGUAAACCGCUUUCGCCUGUGACGAAGCGUGAGUGACGGUAAUGGGUAAAAAAGCACCGGCUAACUACGUG